CUAAGGAAGCUGUGGAACUGGUAAGACGAUCGGCUGGAUCUUCGGAUCUCCCCGAUAUGAACCUCCCCGUGCUUUUUAGAACAUAGAUGGCACCAGUCAGGUGACCAUCGAAACGUAAUACGCCGCGAUGACUUCGGUCACGACGGUAUGGCGAGCUUUCGCCGUCCACGUUUCUCUUUCUUCAAAAGGAUAUCGAACCAUUGGUUUGCGCUCACGCACGUACCGCCCUUCGGGCUGUGCUCCGCGGGGGCGCCGGACGACCGGCGACGGCCUCUGGCCUGUAUGGGAGAGCCUUGAUAGGCUUGAAGUUCGGCGAGAUGGGCCCGUAGCUCAGUUGGUUAGAGCACACGCUUGAUAAGCGUGGGGUCGGAAGUUCAAGUCUUCCCGGGCCCACCAUUUGCACCAGCAAAUGAGUUUGCUGUAGCGAAUAGUGGUUUGUUUGGGUUUACCUGAUCCUGGCGGUUUGCUGUCAGGUGUUUGCGAUGGUUGGGGCUGUAGCUCAGCUGGGAGAGCACCUGCUUUGCAAGCAGGGGGUCAGCGGUUCGAUCCCGCUCAGCUCCACCAAAUUCUGUCCUCACGGCGAAAGCCUGCGGACGGCGCGCCGAACGAUCGGCGACGGCCUCUGGCCUGUAUUUGGCGGAUUGUUGCUGGCGGUGAAUGAUAUCCUUUGAAGAAAUAAAAGUUUUGCAUCGGCUUAUGGCUGAUGCGUGUUCUGCAUACAUUGUGAAGAGAAGAUUGAUCUGGAGGCUUCCAGGUGUCGUGGGUUGUUAUCCAUGAUGUCCGAGCCCAGUUCUGAUGAUCCCGUGGAUGGCCUAGCCGGCCGGAUAUGGGUGAAGGACUGGAGGUAGGAAGGAAGUCUGUCGCUCUGGGUCGUUGUUGUUUGCUGUCUUUAGGGAUGAGCAUCUGACGGACGACUUGAUUACCGUUGCCUGACCGCGCGGUAUCGGAUCAUAUCUCGAGAAGCUGGUCUUAAGACAGGCUGCAAGCGAGCUGCUCGGCGUAGCUCCAAUAAAGCAGACCUGUCGAACACGUUAAUGGCAUUGUUGGAUUGACUGGGUUGUAAAAGGUAACCCGGUCUGUUGCCGUUCCUUAUGGGGCGGGCAACGAGACGAUGAGCAUUGGCAAUGAGAACG
This 1133-nucleotide transfer RNA is filed under the name Rhizobium leguminosarum bv. viciae. Its description in RNAcentral is "partial 16S-23S ribosomal RNA intergenic spacer". The stretch from base 320 to 393 matches the Rfam family "tRNA". Lineage: Bacteria; Pseudomonadati; Pseudomonadota; Alphaproteobacteria; Hyphomicrobiales; Rhizobiaceae. The record is from RNAcentral.